This 253-nucleotide ribosomal RNA is filed under the name uncultured bacterium. Its description in RNAcentral is "partial 16S ribosomal RNA". It matches the Rfam family "Bacterial small subunit ribosomal RNA", at positions 524 to 776 of the family's 1533-position model. The record is from RNAcentral.
UACGAAGGGGGCUAGCGUUGUUCGGAAUUACUGGGCGUAAAGCGCGCGCAGGCGGUCUUCCAAGUCAGUGGUGAAAGCCCGGAGCUCAACUCCGGAAUUGCCAUUGAAACUGUUAGACUUGAGGAUGAGAGAGGUGAGUGGAAUUCCCAGUGUAGAGGUGGAAUUCGUAGAUAUUGGGAAGAACACCGGUGGCGAAGGCGGCUCACUGGCUCAUUUCUGACGCUCAGGCGCGACAGCGUGGGGAUCAAACAGG